UUCAUGUGCAUAAGGUAUAAGUGCAUAGGAUUCAGGUAUGCAAGCACAAUGGUUCGAUUUUUAGAUCCAUUGCUCCAAUGAAAACCGAAUAUCAGAUCCAAUUAGAAUUGGAUAACAAGGAAGAAACAUGCCUAGAUAGAAAUGUAUUUCAAGCUGGCCAAUACUCCUGUUCUAUUUUCUAUUGAUUUCAUAAAAUUAGUAUCAUUGCUUAUUUUAGUAUAAAAAAAAAUACAAACUUUCAAUUGAUGAUGAGGACCAUUGUGUGAAUGUCUUGCAGGUAUUUUUUAUCACUAAUCUUGAACCAGUGAAGACGAUUGAAUUUGUAAACUCUACCAUUCUUACCUGCAGGUUUUAUGAAGGUGUUGUGCAACCUUAUAACCUAGAAAAGAAGAAACAUGUGAUACUAUAUGACGAUGGAGAUGUGGAAGUUUUUCAGUUAUAUAAGGAGCAGGGGGAGGUUAUCAGUGAAGGUUCCGAUCCUAGCAAGUGACUUAAAUCAUCAAAUGUUUCCCCAUCCAAAGGAAUGCUUGAGCAGCUGCAGAUGCUGUCAGUCCCGCUGAUAUGUGUUGCAACAAUUCGAGUAGCUUUGGAUGCAACAGGUUUCCCUGACGUGUCUAUCAUGUCGUGUACUACUAAGUAAUUCUUUUUCCAUUUCCUUAUGAUCAGACUGCAUGUUGGCUAAAUGUGUUAACAUUGCUCGGAUUUGUAAAAGAAAUAAAUGGGGAUUGAAGUCUAUAAUUGCAGAAGAAAUGAAAAAAGAAAAAAGAGAAAAGUGAAUCUAGCAAG
Molecule: long non-coding RNA, 786 nt
Organism: Magnolia sinica
Lineage: Eukaryota; Viridiplantae; Streptophyta; Magnoliopsida; Magnoliales; Magnoliaceae
Exons: 4
Source: RefSeq, a predicted model, not a curated record